UUUUUUUAUAUGCUGGGGAAAAUCACAGGUUUUGAUUCUGGAUUGAGAGUGUUAGAACCGGCCCAAUCUGAUUUAGGUCAGAAACGGGCCAUGUGCAGCUCUACUUGUAUGUGCAUCCUAUGGCCGGAGGAAAGCUAACGUGUGACGGCCGCCCAAGUCCCAGUGCUUCUGUGAUCGGCCGUCGCCUGGUUGAGUUAGUUGCAUUUUGCUAAAGAUGCUAAUCGGUGUGACCAAAAUGUGCAGUUCUCCACUUCGUUUUCAUCAUUUUGUCCUGCAGUUUCCUUUAGUUCGCUCAAUUUCUUCACUUGAACAAACCCUUAAAGCUAAAGUAGAAGCCAAGGCCUAUCAAGAAAUUCCCGACCUUUUUGAAUCUUACAGAGGUGAAUAUUUCGAAAAUCCUAAUCCUUUCUCCUUCCUCUCCACCUUCUCUUUGAAUCUCAGAACACAAGUAGUUGAUGAAAUUUUACAAUCUUUUAUCCCUUUGAGACCCCAUUUUCGCCCCCAACUUGUUUAUUCCUGUCUCCUUUCUUACACCCUUCAAAGUCCUAGUCCUCUCCCUCUUGCUCUAGCCAUCCUCCAGCGAACUUUUCGUUCUGGGUGUUCACCUGUGCCCCAAACACGUCUUCUUCUAUCCUCUGCUUGGUUGGAUCGAAGAAGGCAAUCUCAUACUGUAGCUAAUAUUCUAGAGGAGAUGGAGUCUAUUGGGUAUCGUGCAGACUCUGGUAUUUGUAACUAUCUUGUGUCUUCUCUUUGUGCUGUUGAUCAGUUGCAGGAAGCAGUGAAGGUUCUGAAGGGUAUGGGCAGAGCAGGAUGUGUUCCUGAUUUGGAAGGUUAUGGCUUUGUUAUUGGCUCAAUGUGCACAGCCAGAAGAACUGCUGAUGCGGUAGAGAUGUUGAAGGAAAUGGUGGUCAAAAUUGGGUUGAACCCAAGGCAUGGAACCGUGGUGAAAAUAGCGGCGGCAUUGCGGGCAAAUAGAGAGAUAUGGACAGCUGUUGAAAUGAUUGAGUUCAUGGAGAGGGAAGGUUGCCAUGUCGGAUUUGAGAGCUAUGAGCUGGUGCUUGAGGGGUGUUUGGAGUGCAAAGAGUAUCUUUUGGCUGGAAAAGUGGCGAUGAGAAUGACAGAGAAACGGUUUAUACCUUAUAUCAAGGUCAGGCAAAAGGUGGUAGAGAAGCUUGCUGGUGUCGGUGAAUGGAAGCUUGCUUGUGCUGUAAGGCAAAGAUUCACAGAAUUGAGUUCAUAGUUUCCUCCAUUUUUUAUGGGAGUGCAUUGUGAAGUCUGCUGGUGAGAAGCAAAUAAAUUCACACAUGUAAUGACUGAUAUGUGGCCAAGAGGGUGUUGGAUUUGAAAUCCGUGGUGCCUGUUGAAAGUUGGAACAAGACUACAAGCGUACAGAGCACGUGAUGUGCUCCAAUAUUAGGGAAUGAAUGCGAAAGAUACUGUUGAAGAUUGCACACUGGAAGUGAGUAGUGGAAAGAAGUGAAGGAACUGUUGCGAAAAGAAAUCUUGCAUGCUUCUUUAUUACAAUUGAGCUUAUCCAGCUGAAAAGGCAAUGUUAUAUCAGCCAUUUUUGUCAGAUUACAGGUUUCAAAUAAUGAUGCAGAACUUCGAAGAUGCUGAUAAAGUUGGCAGAUAAGAUAAUUGAGGAAUAUCUGCUAGAAAUUUAAGGUAAGGUGCUCAUGGAGCUACAAAAUGUCUAGCCUAAUCAAUGUAAUGAAGGUAAUGAUCAUCCCCCAUGGAAAGAAUUAAUUUAUUUUAGUAUUGCAUCUUAAACAGUUUGUUGAUGAAAUGUUGAUCUUGGAGAAUAUCAUUAUCAUUAUGUCAAAGGUUUUAUCGAAUUAAAUUAAUUCAGUUUUUUACUAAGAUUUCAAAUAAA
Molecule: RNA transcript, 1873 nt
Organism: Manihot esculenta (cassava)
Lineage: Eukaryota; Viridiplantae; Streptophyta; Magnoliopsida; Malpighiales; Euphorbiaceae
Gene name: pentatricopeptide repeat-containing protein At1g06270
Exons: 3
Source: RefSeq, a predicted model, not a curated record